RNAcentral lists this non-coding RNA (115 nucleotides) under Leptospira borgpetersenii str. 200701203. RNAcentral describes it as "Leptospira sRNA 30_292". It matches the Rfam family "Leptospira sRNA 30_292". Lineage: Bacteria; Pseudomonadati; Spirochaetota; Leptospiria; Leptospirales; Leptospiraceae. The record is from Rfam by way of RNAcentral.
AAAUAGAUCAGUAUGGACAUAUCUGGGAGCAAAAUGUAUUUACUCGAAGAAAAACAAACACAACUGAAAGGGGAUCAAACCUUGACUUGCGCAGGAUGCAGAUCAAAAGUCACGC